RNAcentral lists this ribosomal RNA (520 nucleotides) under uncultured bacterium. RNAcentral describes it as "bacterial SSU rRNA". It matches the Rfam family "Bacterial small subunit ribosomal RNA", at positions 9 to 524 of the family's 1533-position model. The record is from RNAcentral.
GAGUUUGAUCAUGGCUCAGGAUGAACGCUAGCGGCAGGCUUAACACAUGCAAGUCGAGGGGCAGCAUGUCCAGCAAUGGAUGAUGGCGACCGGCGGAAGGGUGCGUAACGCGUGAGCAACAUGCCCUAUACAGGGAGAUACACCAGGGAAACUUGGUCUAAUAUCCCAUAGCAUUCAUUGAAGGCAUCUUUAAUGAAUUAAAGCUUCGGUGGUAUAGGAUUGGCUCGCGUGACAUUAGCCAGAUGGUGAGGUAACGGCUCACCAUAGCAAUGAUGUCUAGGGGUUUUGAGAGGAAGGCCCCCCACACUGGGACUGAGACACGGCCCAGACUCCUACGGGAGGCAGCAGUGAGGAAUAUUGGACAAUGGAUGGAAAUCUGAUCCAGCCAUGCCGCGUGCAGGAAGACGGCCUUAUGGGUUGUAAACUGCUUUUAUAUGGGAGCAAUAAGAACUACGUGUAGUUCGAUGAGAGUACCAUAUGAAUAAGCACCGGCUAACUCCGUGCCAGCAGCCGCGGUAAA